Labrus mixtus (cuckoo wrasse) is the source of this 297-nucleotide long non-coding RNA. RefSeq lists it as uncharacterized. The record is from RefSeq and is a predicted model, not a curated record. Lineage: Eukaryota; Metazoa; Chordata; Actinopteri; Labriformes; Labridae. The transcript has 2 exons.
GAGAUGCCUUGCUCAUAUCAAAACUGAAGCUUCUCAUGGCUUUGUUUUAAUAAUAUUAAUGUACAGCUGCUCGCUGCUGAUCUCCUAUAAAUAACAGAACACCGAGAAGAACUUUUCACUCCUGAGUAAAAGAAAACAAGUAUGUCAGGGGAUGGUGUGUGUGUGUGUGUGUGUGUGUGUGUGUGUGUGUGUGUGUGUGUGUGUCUUACCGAUGUUCUUCAGGAAGUACUCUCGACACAGGUGCAGGUCGUUGUCACAGGAAAUUAAAAUUAUCUCUGGAAGGUUCUGAAACAAAAA